This 1096-nucleotide long non-coding RNA is filed under the name Triticum aestivum (bread wheat). Its description in RNAcentral is "long non-coding RNA (TAES_LNC026708)". Lineage: Eukaryota; Viridiplantae; Streptophyta; Magnoliopsida; Poales; Poaceae. The record is from RNAcentral.
GUUGCCGCUGGAGCCGGACAAGAUAAGGCUUGCCUUACCUGGUGACGUACUGGCUAGGAGAGUGCAAGCUUCCGCCCACACGUACCAGAUGGUCCCAUCAAGGACGUUGUCGUACCGACUGCCGAUGAUCUACAGGUCAGUUUUUCCUUAGCUUCUGUUAUUAGUCUUUUUUUUCCUAUGAAUCGUUCGACUCGUGGUUGCUUCUACAAAAUAGCUCAUCUUUUAGCUUGAAAUGUUACCAUGAAACUUAUCCCCUUUAUUCACUUAAACAAUUUAUGAUGGUGGUUUGGGUACCAAGCUCAGUUGUUUUUUUAUAAAAUGAUUACAUGGUCCAAUAUUUCAGUUAUGUUACAUAUAUUCGUUUUUUAUGUUUUUCUGAACCUUAUACUUCCCUGUAUUUAUUUUUGUUUGGCUAUGAACAACCCAAGAGAUGAAGAUGUUGAAUUUGCUUCAAACUACUACUGUAAAUUUAGAAGCUUCCUAGAUUGCAUCCUAGCUUAGUUGAUCCAGGGCUUAAGCUAUAUACCAAAAUAACACUGAGAUGAGUUCUGUCAGAAGUACGUUGAGCCUUUUUAUUUUUAUUCUGUUUUGCGCACUCAUUUAAUGCCACUUGGAAUCUGAAGUAGAAAAUAUCAUAAAGAGCUUGAUGACUUAUAACAUUACCUGUCACAGUAUAUUAAAGGGUUUUUAGGUGACCAAUUAGGAAAUAAUUAAUUUUGAGUGCUUAAAUAUUGUUACAGUGCGUCAUAUAAGUUACCAAAAAAUUGUAAUUGGGAUAUCAAGGCUUAAAUGGACAAGUCCCAUAAAUAAUAAACUUACCCCUCAUAUACUGGUUGUUGGUAAACCAACCACUAAGAUUUUGAUUCAGUGUUUGCCUAAAGAAAUUACUCCCCCAUUUUGAUUUCAUCAAUUUUUUGAACAGCUCAGGCCAUUUUUGUCGUUGUAUGACAAGGCUGCCGAUGUCAUCACUGAGCCGCCUUCUUUGCUUCAGAGGCUUAUUGUUCUGCUAUAGAUCUCUGUCUCUUAUCCACUCACCCAUUGUACUGCAGGUUUGUGUUCUUGGGUUUUUAUAUCUCGCUUCUUCUUUUUAGUGAGC